CAGUACAAAAACUAAAAAAAUAAAAAACAAAUCAAGUUACAUUCACAUGUCCGCUACUCUGUUGGCCUGGCAUUGAACAUAAUCUGUAGUCUUGGAUCUGCACAGGUGGGCUGAUGAAGGGGAGGAAGUCGCACAUGUGAGUAGCUGGAGCAGAAGGGAAGGCAAAAGGCGGGCAUAUGCUCUCCCCUCUGUGGCCUGGCCUUCCUGUCGCCUCACAGGACAAUACGGCACGGGCGGGAGAAAAAAAAAAGGCGGGGGGGGCAGACUAGGUACGAAACCUGCUCUGUGGUGGCGUUCACGAACACCAUCGCUCCAUUUUAAUCUGGGUUUACCCGACGCUAUUUUCAGAGGCGGUCCCGUGACUGUGGCGGCAGAAAGCGGGUGAAAAAAGAAGACAAGGUGAAAGGCCAAAAUUGGCUGUCAUAAGUCUCGUGAGAGAGGCUGAAUUUAUCCCGGUCGUCUCGCAGCGUUGAACAGUCACAUCUCAUCUUUCAACCCGGAACUCGCACAGUGACGCUGGAUAGAUAACAUACUAGUGUAGUUGGUGAGAUUUCCCUCCAAGCAAACCUUGAGUUGAGUACAAUACAGUACCUUGUGGUGAAAAAAAAGCAUAUGUCACAUUUCAUUUUAUUUCUGGGCUACGAAUGACUGCAGUGAAAGAGAUUCAGUACUAGAACUGUAAAGCAUACCAUCCAACUCUAUCAUCCAGGAAAAGACAUCUAAAAGGGUCCGUUUUAGGACAUUCUUUAUUCCUUUCCCUGCGCCCAUUUCUGGAUAAAUAUUCAAAAACAACAGAGUGGAUAAAACAAUAACAUGAAGAACAUCAACGUUUUUUUUGAAGAACGAUUUAAAAUUUGUUUUCAAAGUAAAACGUAAAAGUGGGAUUGGUUGAAGGGAGUAGCAAACCCUGAGUCUUAAAGUCUUGUAAAUUAGGAGCUAGCUUGGGUUAGAUAACUGGUUAAAACAUGAUUAGGGCUAGGUUAGGCGGGUUUAGGGGAGGUUAAAUUAUGAGGUACCGUCAUGGUAUUUUUAGGUUAUGUUUAGACGCAAUACAAUCAGUCCUCUGCAGUCUGAGAGAUGGACGACUCGAGGGCGACGUGCUCCGUGAGCAUGUGGACGGCGCCCUCUACUGGACACACACAAAAACACACACACACCAAAAACUGGGGCCUUUUGCUUGAAGAAGACAAGUGAAAAUUGAAAUCGAGGAGAUGUGUCACCGAUAAUGCGCUGUUGUCACAGUCCUUUAUUUUGGCUCCUAUCCCACCGCGGCAGACUGGCCGGCUUUAUAAUCCUCAGGGUGAACAAAAAAUGGAUUUGGUCGGCGUAAACAACACUUGAGGCUGCCGGAAUGUUUCCUGGCACGGCUCUCCUCCCCGCCUCCGCUGCGUCUCCAGAGGCUCCGGACAACAGACGGGUCACAGCGAAGCCACAUUUCAAAUCCGGUGUGCAGAUGGACACCAGUGGCGGUGAUGCUAAAUCCUGCGCCACUUGGCAACACGGCGGCAGUAAGGUUUUUCCACCUGCCUGAUGCCACAGGAGACCCGAUGCGUGCGUUAACAUGAUUGCAACAAAAAAUAAUGUAUCCAUCUUCGUGCAUCACAAUGUAAAAAAUAGACAUGAAUUCAUUAAUUGAAUACCUUCAUCUUGAUAAUUUUAUCAACCAUAAUAUUAUAUCACUACCUAUUGAUUUUAGCAUGAUGUAUUCUCAUUGUCAUCAUUAUUUCUCGUAAUGUUUUAAGCCUAAUCAAAAUUAUUUAUCAUAUCAUCAAGGUUCAUAGUCUCAACAUAACGAGAAACCAUACAAGUGGAACCAAACAAAAGGACUACAAAUCCCUGCAGUCAAAACCGGAAGCAAAACGCCGGCUCGACUAACUCUCGCAUAACGCAAAAUCAUUAUUCAAACUUUCCAAUGCAGCUGGACAACCAUGAUGUGGCAACACUGCAACAAAAAGGAACGAACCAUGGACACUACUACAAUUACAAGUCUCAACUUUAUCAGUUUUGCCCAAGUUGUGUAAACGCGACUCCAGCAAGUGUUUGCACUGCCGCUUGCAAACAGCGAUUAACGUUAAGCGAUGCAGACAAACAAAGCAAGCAAGCACGAUUGAAUCUAAAAGAUAAUUCGACAGAUCUGACAAAGAAAAGCGGACAUAACAAAGGGAUUUUACCAUUGGGGUUAUGCUGGUGACGAAGUGAGUGAUUUCCUACUGAACCAAACUGCGAUACCUUUUUUUUUCUAUACGUCAAGCGAGUCACCUGUCAGUGG
This is a long non-coding RNA of Hippocampus comes (tiger tail seahorse), 2269 nucleotides long. RefSeq lists it as uncharacterized. The transcript is spliced from 3 exons. The record is from RefSeq and is a predicted model, not a curated record. NCBI's taxonomy places the organism in Eukaryota, Metazoa, Chordata, Actinopteri, Syngnathiformes, Syngnathidae.